AUACGUAGGGUGCAAGCGUUAAUCGGAAUUACUGGGCGUAAAGCGUGCGCAGGCGGUUUUGUAAGACAGAGGUGAAAUCCCCGGGCUCAACCUGGGAACUGCCUUUGUGACUGCAAGGCUAGAGUACGGCAGAGGGGGAUGGAAUUCCGCGUUUAGCAGGGAAAAGCGUAGAUAUGCGGAGGAAAACCGAUGGCGAAGGCAAUCCCCUGGGCCUGUACUGACGCUCAUGCACGAAAGCGUGGGGAGCAAACAGGAUUAGAUACCCUGGUAGUCCACGCCCUAAACGAUGUCAACUGGUUGUUGGGUCUUCAUUGACUCAGUAACGAAGCUAACGCGUGAAGUUGACCGCCUGGGGAGUACGGCCGCAAGGUUGAAACUCAAAUGAAUUGACGGGG
This 395-nucleotide ribosomal RNA is filed under the name uncultured bacterium. Its description in RNAcentral is "partial 16S ribosomal RNA". It matches the Rfam family "Bacterial small subunit ribosomal RNA", at positions 523 to 918 of the family's 1533-position model. The record is from RNAcentral.